This 207-nucleotide small nucleolar RNA is filed under the name Hanseniaspora osmophila. The record is from RNAcentral. Lineage: Eukaryota; Fungi; Ascomycota; Saccharomycetes; Saccharomycodales; Saccharomycodaceae.
ACCCGGUUUGAUAACUGGAUGGCGAUUCAACAUUCCACUUGUGGAAUUACAUAUACUGCUGUCUUUUAAAAACCUCCGGAAUAUCGAAAUCAUUGAUUUACUUACACUGUGCUGGUCUUUUCUUUUUUAUUAGUUGUAUCCUUUGGAAAUAAUUGAUGGGAGAAAAAAAAUCUAGUGACCUUCAUUGUUUAUAUAAACUCAAACAUU